CCUANGGGAGGCUGCAGUGGGGAAUAUUGCGCAAUGGGCGAAAGCCUGACGCAGCGACGCCGCGUGGAGGAUGAAGGUUUUCGGAUUGUAAACUCCUGUUAAGUGGGAAGAAAGCUUUGCCUUUAAUAGAGGCAGAUUAUGACGGUACCAUUAGAGAAAGCACCGGCUAACUUCGUGCCAGCAGCCGCGGUAAUACGAGGGGUGCAAGCGUUAUUCGGAUUUACUGGGCGUAAAGAGUGCGUAGACGGUUUAUCAAGUCUGCUGUUAAAUUCCUCGGCUUAACCGAGGCUCAGCAGUAGAAACUGAUAGGCUGGAGUGUGGGAGAGAGAAGUGGAAUUCCCGGAGUAGCGGUAAAAUGCGUAGAUCUCGGGAGGAACACCGAUGGCGAAGGCAGCUUCUUGGACCAUUACUGACGUUGAGGCACGAAAGCGUGGGGAGCAAACAGGAUUAGAUACCCUANUANUC
This 465-nucleotide ribosomal RNA is filed under the name uncultured bacterium. RNAcentral's name for it is "bacterial SSU rRNA". It matches the Rfam family "Bacterial small subunit ribosomal RNA", at positions 338 to 795 of the family's 1533-position model. The record is from RNAcentral.